AGAGUUUGAUCCUGGCUCAGGACGAACGCUGGCGGCGUGCCUAAAACAUGCAAGUCGAACGACCCUUCGGGGUAGUGGCGAACGGCGUAGUAAUACAUGAGAAACGUGCCCUUAAGACUGGGAUAUACCGAGGAAACCCGGAGCAAUACCAGAUGUGGCGGAGUGGUGGCAUCACCAUUCCAUUAAACGGUUUUUCGCUUAAGGAGCGUCUCAUGGCCUAUCAGGUAGUUGGUGAGGUAAUGGCUCACCAAGCCGACGACGGGUAGCGGGUCUGAGAGGAUGAUCCGCACGAGUGGGACUGCGACACGGCCCACACACCUACGGGUGGCAGCAGUUGGGAAUCUUGGACAAUGGGCGCAAGCUGAUCCAGCAAUGCCGCGUGCGUGAAGAAGGCCUUCGGGUUGUAAAGCGCUUUUGUUCGGGAGGAAAUCCUAGUGGCUAAUAUCCAUUGGGGAUGACAGUACCGGAAGAAUAAGGACCGGCUAACUACGUGCCAGCAGCCGCGGUAAUACGUAGGGUCCAAGCGUUAAUCGGAAUUACUGGGCGUAAAGGGUGCGCAGGUGGUUGAUUAAGUGUGAUGUGAAAGCCCCGGGCUCAACCUGGGAAUUGCAUUGCAAACUGGUCAACUAGAGUAUGGCAGAGGGGGGUGGAAUUCCGCGUGUAGCAGUGAAAUGCGUAGAGAUGCGGAGGAACACCGAUGGCGAAGGCAACCCCCUGGGCUAAUACUGACACUCAUGCACGAAAGCGUGGGAGCAAACAGGAUUAGAUACCCUGGUAGUCCACGCCCUAAACGAUGUCUACUAGUUGUUGGGGGAUUCGUCCCUUAGUAACGAAGCUAACGCGUGAAGUUGACCGCCUGGGGAGUACGGCCGCAAGGUUGAAACUCAAAGGAAUUGACGGGGACCCGCACAAGCGGUGGAUGAUGUGGUUUAAUUCGAUGCAACGCGAAAAACCUUACCCACCUUUGACAUGUACGGAAGUGACCAGAGAUGGACAUGUGCUCGAAAGAGAACCGUAACACAGGUGCUGCAUGGCUGUCGUCAGCUCGUGUCGUGAGAUGUUGGGUUAAGUCCCGCAACGAGCGCAACCCUUGCCAUUAGUUGCUACAUUUAGUUGGGCACUCUAAUGGGACUGCCGGUGACAAACCGGAGGAAGGUGGGGAUGACGUCAAGUCCUCAUGGCCCUUAUAGGUGGGGCUACACACGUCAUACAAUGGCUGGUACAAAGGGUUGCCAACCCGCGAGGGGGAGCUAAUCCCAUAAAGCCAGUCGUAGUCCGGAUCGCAGUCUGCAACUCGACUGCGUGAAGUCGGAAUCGCUAGUAAUCGUGGAUCAGAAUGUCACGGUGAAUACGUUCCCGGGUCUUGUACACACCGCCCGUCACACCAUGGGAGCGGGUCUCGCCAGAAGUAGGUAGCCUAACCGCAAGGAGGGCGCUUACCACGGCGGGGUUCGUGACUGGGGUGAAGUCGUAACAAGGUAACCGU
This 1486-nucleotide ribosomal RNA is filed under the name uncultured bacterium. RNAcentral's name for it is "16S ribosomal RNA". It matches the Rfam family "Bacterial small subunit ribosomal RNA". The record is from RNAcentral.